RNAcentral lists this ribosomal RNA (310 nucleotides) under uncultured Bacillota bacterium. Its description in RNAcentral is "bacterial SSU rRNA". It matches the Rfam family "Bacterial small subunit ribosomal RNA", at positions 608 to 919 of the family's 1533-position model. The record is from RNAcentral. Lineage: Bacteria; Bacillati; Bacillota.
CUCAACCACGGGCUUGGCGGUAAACUGGAUCUCUUGAGUGUAAGAGAGGGAAGUGGAAUUCCCGGAGUAACGGUGAAAUGCGUAGAUACCGGGAGGAACACCAGUGGCGAAGGCGGCUUCCUGGCCUACUACUGACGCUGAAGCGCGAAAGCUAGGGGAGCGAACGGGAUUAGAUACCCCGGUAGUCCUAGCCGUAAACGAUGGUCACUAGGUGUGGGUGGUGGUCAAGCCAUCCGUGCCGGAGCUAACGCAAUAAGUGACCCAUCUGAGAGUACGGCCGCAGGUUGACACUCAAUGAAAUUGACGGACU